CCGUAGCUGGGUUGUUAAGUCUCUUGGGAAAUCUGGCGGCUUAACCGUCAGGCGUCUAAGGGAUACUGGCAAUCUUGGAACCGGGAGAGGUGAGGGGUACUUCGGGGGUAGGAGUGAAAUCCUGUAAUCCUCGAGGGACCACCUGUGGCGAAGGCGCCUCACCAGAACGGCUUCGACAGUGAGGGACGAAAGCUGGGGGAGCAAACCGGAUUAGAUACCCGGGUAGUCCCAGCCGUAAACUAUGCGCGUUAGGUGUAUCGGUGACCACGAGUUACCGAGGUGCCGAAGGGAAACCGUGAAACGUGCCGCCUGGGAAGUACGGUCGCAAGGCUGAAACUUAAAGGAAUUGGCGGGGGAGCACCACAACAGGUGGAGCCUGCGGUUUAAUUGGACUCAACGCCGGGAAGCUCACCGGAUAGGACGGCAGAAUGAUUGCCGGGCUGAAGACCCUGCAUGACUAGCUGAGAGGAGGUGCAUGGCCGUCGUCAGUUCGUACUGUGAAGCAUCCUGUUAAGUCAGGCAACGAGCAAGACCCACGCCAACAGUUGCCAGCAUGGUCUCCGGACUGAUGGGGACACUGUUGGGACCGCCUCUGCUAAAGAGGAGGAAGGAAUGGGCAACGGUAGGUCAGCAUGCCCCGAAUUAUCCGGGCUACACGCGGGCUACAAUGGGCAGGACAAUGGGCAUCGACACCGUGAGGUGGAGGCAAUCUCCUAAACCUGUCCUUAGUUCGGAUUGUGGGCUGAAACUCGCCCACAUGAAGCUGGAAUCUGUAGUAAUCGCGUUUCAAAAUAACGCGGUGAAUUUGUCCCUGCUCCUUGCACACACCGCCCGU
RNAcentral lists this ribosomal RNA (835 nucleotides) under uncultured prokaryote. RNAcentral's name for it is "bacterial SSU rRNA". It matches the Rfam family "Archaeal small subunit ribosomal RNA", at positions 519 to 1353 of the family's 1478-position model. The record is from RNAcentral.